This 489-nucleotide ribosomal RNA is filed under the name uncultured bacterium. RNAcentral describes it as "partial 16S ribosomal RNA". It matches the Rfam family "Bacterial small subunit ribosomal RNA", at positions 28 to 523 of the family's 1533-position model. The record is from RNAcentral.
GACGAACGCUGGCGGCGUGUUUAACACAUGCAAGUCGAACGGAGAGUACCGAGUAGCAAUACGCGGUAUUCUUAGUGGCGGACGGGUGAGUAACGCGUGAGCAAUUUGCCUCAGGGUGGGGGAUAACAGCGGGAAACCGUUGCUAAUACCGCAUACGACGACGGCCGGGCAUCCGGCUGUGGUGAAAGGAGCAAUCCGCCCUUAGAUGAGCUCGCGUCCCAUUAGGUAGUUGGCGGGGUAACGGCCCACCAAGCCUGCGAUGGGUAGCCGGACUGAGAGGUUGGCCGGCCACACUGGAACUGAGACACGGUCCAGACUCCUACGGGAGGCAGCAGUGAAGAAUAUUGGGCAAUGGGGGAAACCCUGACCCAGCAACGCCGCGUGAGGGAAGAAGGUUCUCGGAUUGUAAACCUCUGUCCCAUGGGAAGAAAAAAAUGACGGUACCAUGGGAGGAAGCCCCGGCUAACUACGUGCCAGCCGCCGCGGUAA